RNAcentral lists this unclassified non-coding RNA (258 nucleotides) under uncultured fungus. RNAcentral describes it as "partial contains 5.8S ribosomal RNA, internal transcribed spacer 2, and large subunit ribosomal RNA". The record is from RNAcentral. Lineage: Eukaryota; Fungi.
AACGCACAUUGCGCCCGCCAGCUAUUCUGGCGGGCAUGCCUGUUCGAGCGUCAUUUCAACCCUCAAGCCCCAGUGGCUUGGUGUUGGCGACGCGGCCGGUCUCAGCGCCGGCCGCCGCCGAAAUGCAGGGGCGGUCGCCUCGCGGCAACCAUUACGCAGUAGUAACAUCUCGUAACUGGGACGCGGGGCGGCCACGCCUAACCCACUCAUUUUUUUAGAGUUGACCUCGGAUCAGGUAGGGAUACCCGCUGAACUUAA